This 618-nucleotide ribosomal RNA is filed under the name uncultured bacterium. Its description in RNAcentral is "bacterial SSU rRNA". The stretch from base 1 to 539 matches the Rfam family "Bacterial small subunit ribosomal RNA", at positions 338 to 873 of the family's 1533-position model. The record is from RNAcentral.
CCUACGGGAGGCAGCAGUGGGGAAUUUUGGACAAUGGGCGCAAGCCUGAUCCAGCAAUGCCGCGUGAGUGAAGAAGGCCUUCGGGUUGUAAAGCUCUUUUGUCAGGGAAGAAACGGUGAGGGCUAAUAUCCUUUGCUAAUGACGGUACCUGAAGAAUAAGCACCGGCUAACUACGUGCCAGCAGCCGCGGUAAUACGUAGGGUGCAAGCGUUAAUCGGAAUUACUGGGCGUAAAGCGUGCGCAGGCGGUUUUGUAAGUUUGUCGUGAAAUCCCCGGGCUCAACCUGGGAAUGGCGAUGAAGACUGCAAGGCUAGAAUCUGGCAGAGGGGGGUAGAAUUCCACGUGUAGCAGUGAAAUGCGUAGAGAUGUGGAGGAACACCGAUGGCGAAGGCAGCCCCCUGGGUCAAGAUUGACGCUCAUGCACGAAAGCGUGGGGAGCAAACAGGAUUAGAUACCCUGGUAGUCCACGCUCUAAACGAUGUCUACUAGUUGUCGGGUUUUAAUUAACUUGGUAACGCAGCUACGCGUGAGUAGACGCCGUGGGAGGUACGGUCGCGAGAUAAACGUACAAGUAAGUAGUAGCGNGNGAGAGCGACGACGACGACGAGGAGGAGGAGG